This 465-nucleotide ribosomal RNA is filed under the name Vreelandella stevensii. RNAcentral's name for it is "partial 16S ribosomal RNA". It matches the Rfam family "Bacterial small subunit ribosomal RNA", at positions 338 to 795 of the family's 1533-position model. Lineage: Bacteria; Pseudomonadati; Pseudomonadota; Gammaproteobacteria; Oceanospirillales; Halomonadaceae. The record is from RNAcentral.
CCUACGGGGUGCAGCAGUGGGGAAUAUUGGACAAUGGGCGAAAGCCUGAUCCAGCCAUGCCGCGUGUGUGAAGAAGGCCUUCGGGUUGUAAAGCACUUUCAGUGGGGAAGAAAGCCUUGGGGCUAAUACCCUCGAGGAAGGACAUCACCCACAGAAGAAGCACCGGCUAACUCCGUGCCAGGAGCCGCGGUAAUACGGAGGGUGCGAGCGUUAAUCGGAAUUACUGGGCGUAAAGCGCGCGUAGGCGGUCUGAUAAGCCGGUUGUGAAAGCCCCGGGCUCAACCUGGGAACGGCAUCCGGAACUGUCAGGCUAGAGUGCAGGAGAGGAAGGUAGAAUUCCCGGUGUAGCGGUGAAAUGCGUAGAGAUCGGGAGGAAUACCAGUGGCGAAGGCGGUCUUCUGGACUGACACUGACGCUGAGGUGCGAAAGCGUGGGUAGCAAACAGGAUUAGAUACCCCGGUAGUC